RNAcentral lists this ribosomal RNA (119 nucleotides) under Propithecus coquereli (Coquerel's sifaka). Lineage: Eukaryota; Metazoa; Chordata; Mammalia; Primates; Indriidae. The record is from RNAcentral.
GUUUAUGGCCAUACCACCCUGAAUGUUCCCAAUCUUGUUGGGUGUUGAAAGCUAAACAGGGUCAGCCCUGGUUAGUAGUUGGGUAUGAAACCACCUGAGACCACCAGAUGCUGUAGGCU